RNAcentral lists this transfer RNA (63 nucleotides) under Flavobacteriaceae bacterium. RNAcentral describes it as "tRNA-Ser". It matches the Rfam family "tRNA", at positions 9 to 71 of the family's 71-position model. Rfam says of the family: Transfer RNA (tRNA) molecules are approximately 80 nucleotides in length. The record is from RNAcentral. Lineage: Bacteria; Pseudomonadati; Bacteroidota; Flavobacteriia; Flavobacteriales; Flavobacteriaceae.
AGUCAAAAUUAAGACGUAUGACUGGAAGUCAAGAGGUCGUGGGUUCGAGUCCCAUCUUCUCCA